GUUAUGAAUAAAAUUGGUGCGAAUAUUCUUGAACAAGUCUCUCAGUGCUCAUGUGAAUGCAUUUUGAGGGGGUACAUAUGCCAGGAAGAGAAAUAUCUAGGUUUUUGUAGGUAAUGUAAACUCUUUUUCCAAGUGGUCUCCAUUAAGAGAGAAAUGUUGAGCAACCAAUGGCUUGCUGACCCACAAGGGUCAGAAACCUAAUUUGGAAAUAAUUUACUUAUGAAACUAAUUUGAGAGUAAUUUACUUAAGUAAUAAAAUUGUAUUCUAUGAGUAUAUUUUUUCCAUUAAGAUUUAUCUCUGUAAAAGAAGAGUUUUUAUAACUGAAUUUUCUCCUUUCUCAUUUGGGAUGCAAUUGAAUUUUCUACUAAACUCUGAAGUCCUCGGGAGGUUUCUAACAGAACAAAUGAUGCCUUAUGGCCAGUAUUCUUUUCCAGAUCUUCAGAGAAAUACAUGAAACCACAUUAGUAUAAAAUGUGACUUUGGUAAAGAGACUAUAUUUAAAUGUACGUUUCUGAAUCCUUGCUGUUCCUUUAAAUUGGCCAUGUGGGGAUUCUUAGGCAUUUUCAAAAAGGAAAGAGCAUCCAUUAAAUAAUGAUGGGCAUAGUCCCCACUGGGAAGGGCUGGCCACAAACCCUGCUCCCACAUCUCCAUCCUCCAAGCACCCUCCACACUGAUGCCCCAGCCAUCUUCUAUAGGGCAUAAUUAAUUCCGUUACUCACUGGGAAAAAGCUUUAAAUGGCUUCCCUUUCAUCCAGGUGCAAGUCAGUACAUUUGCCUGGCCCACAGAGCCUCUACAACUUGUCUCUGGCACACAUUGCCAAGAUUGUUUUUACUCAAAGUCGUCGUAUAAAAUGAUGUGUUUCUGGCACCCUUCUAAGCGAAUUACAAAUAUUAACCCACUUAAUCUUCAUGUCAACCCUCCAAGCUGGGCACCAUUAUUUACGUUCCAUUUUUACAGAUAAGGACACUGAAGAACAAGGAGGAAAAUGUCUUUCCUGAGUCCUACCGAUUCAACUGCACGGCCUUCUAUGAUCUAUCCUAAAAAGUCAGUUGGUGCCACUUCAACCAUAUGUUAUAGUCAGAACAACCUAAACCUUGCCCAGAUUCACAGGAGGAACAUAGGGAGAUCUCAUUCUCCGUGGAAAGAAUGCCACGGUCACAUGGAAAAGGAGCCUAUAAGAUGGGAAACAUUACCGUGAGCACCACUGGAAAAUACAGUCUACAACAAACAUUUUCCAGAAAGCCCAGGAAGCCGUAUCUCAGGUAAAAGGCAAUGAUCACUGAUGUAAGCCAGGGGGUGGAAUAUUCAGGGAUGACCAGUGCAUGGUUAGAGGACUUCCUGCUGAAAGUCCCUGUUUCCUAUGGAUCUUCAAACUGCUGACAUCAGGACUGGAUAAGAAAUAGGAUAAUUUGGUUGCAAAGUUCAAAGCUUUGGGCUUUGCGACUGUAUCAGGGACCAUAAUAUGUAAGUGGCCAUGAGGAGCACAGGGAAAUAGUUAGAUUUUACACAAAUAUGCACAUAUUUAUUAUUCAGUACUAAUGUGUAAGUAACCUACCCUGUAGAAAACGUGCUUGUCUUUGGCGACCUUUCACCCAACCUGUCUUUGGCUUUUGCACAACAGCUUCUCAAGAUGACAAGAGCCCUCAGAAUGUCCACACUUGAGAGCUUUGGUAUUUUAAUCUUUUCAAUGAGGAUAAUAUAACCUUGCAGUAUAUGUUGGUGAAUUGAUGGAUUGAUUGAUUUAACAAUUAUUGUUGAGUUUUCCUGUAGUUAGGCACUGGUCGAAGCACAGUGGCACAGUAGUUCAAAGAUAAAUGAUGUCACUACACUCACGGCAUUUACAUCCUACUUGCAGAAGCCACACACUAGAAAUAUAAAGACAAAAAUAAAUAAAAACAUAAUUUCAGAUAAUGAAGGUAAGUGCUAGGAAAAAAUUGAAUGAGGGACUGUGAUGGCGAACAGUAUAUGAGGCUGACCUGCAUGAGGUUUUCAGGGACAGACUUUCCAAGAACAUGCUAUUUUUAUGUUAAACUGCAAGAAUCCAGAAGAUGCUAAAUAGGUCAGAGCAAUGCCGACAAUGUUAUAAAUAUGUUCUUUGUUACUUGUUAUAUGGUAUUUUAAAGUUCAGUAGGCUUUUAGGUGAUAUCAAAAGUGAACAUAAUAAGAUUGAUCUCUUUUC
Papio anubis (olive baboon) is the source of this 2181-nucleotide long non-coding RNA. The record is from Ensembl. NCBI's taxonomy places the organism in Eukaryota, Metazoa, Chordata, Mammalia, Primates, Cercopithecidae.